RNA transcript from Lycium ferocissimum, 2521 nucleotides. RefSeq lists it as uncharacterized. The record is from RefSeq and is a predicted model, not a curated record. Lineage: Eukaryota; Viridiplantae; Streptophyta; Magnoliopsida; Solanales; Solanaceae. The transcript has 8 exons.
CCCACGGAGAAACACACACCUUUGUCCUCGGUUGGGUCGAAGUUUGUCAUCAAAUUCUACUAUGAAACCCUAAUUUAUAUAUAAACCAAGAAUAAUCACAUCCAAUUGAUUAGUUUUCUUCCAGCCAUGGACGCUCAGAGAGCUUUGUUGGAUGAACUAAUGGGCUCAGCUCGGAAUUUAACUGAAGACGAGAGGAGAGGGUACAAGGAAGUCAAAUGGGACGACAAGGAAGUUUGUGCAUACUAUAUGGUUCGAUUUUGCCCACACGAUCUCUUCGUCAAUACCAAAAGUGAUUUGGGACCCUGCCUUAAAAUUCAUGAAGCAAAGUUGAAGGAAAGUUUUGAGAACUCUCCGAGACACGAUUCUUAUGCUCCCAAGUUUGAAGCAGAACUAGCCCAUUACUGUGAGAAGUUGGUGAUGGACUUGGAUAAGAAAGUUAGGCGUGGUCGGGAACGCCUUGCUCAGGAGGUUGAAGUUCCCCCACCUCCUCCAAUAUCAGCAGAAAAAUCUGAGCAAUUAUCUGUCUUGGAGGAGAAGAUUAAAAACUUGCUAGAACAAGUGGAGUCUCUUGGUGAAGCUGGGAAAGUUGAUGAAGCUGAAGCUCUCAUGAGAAAGGUGGAAAUGUUAAACAGUGAAAAGACGGCCCUGAGUCAGCAAACACAGCAGAACAGUGCACUAAUGAUUGCACAAGAGAAAAAGAUGGCUUUGUGCGAGACAUGUGGUUCGUUUCUUGUCGCAAAUGAUGCUGCAGAGAGGACUCAGUCUCACGUCACUGGUAAGCAGCAUGUUGGCUAUGGGAUGGUUCGAGAUUUCUUAUCCGAGUACAAGGCUGCUAAAGAGAAGGCAAGGGAAGAGGAAAGGUUAGCCAGGGAGAAAGAAGCAGAAGAAAGGAAAAAGCUGAGGGAGAAAGAAAAUGACAGCAGACGACGAAGAAGUGAAUCAUCUGACAGGGACAAGCACAAAGAUCGAGAUUAUGAGAGGGAACGGGAUCGCUACCGAGGAAGAGAUCGUGGCCCUGACAGGAAUGGCAGAGGAAGCCGUGAUUUCGAAAGGGGUCCAGAUUGGAAACAUGGGAUUUCCAGAAAUGGGAGAAACAGAAGCAGGGAGAGACGCGAUAGAAGCAGGUCACACUCUCCUAUUAGACAUGGUUCCAGGAGGUCCAGGAGUCCAGUUCGCAAGUAUUAGAGGAGUAUAAAUCGUAGAUGUCUGAACUUUGAAAUUUGAAGAGGUAGACUUUUUUAUAACUCACCAAUUUCAUGAAUGUAUGCUUUCGGGUCCUAAGUGCCAUUGCCAUCAUGUGUGAAACUGUUUUUUGUUCUCACAGCUCUUUUGAGACUAUACCAUCUCCCUAUCAUCAAUAUAAUUAGAGAAGAAAGGGUUGAGUUAAAAAACAGAUUCAUUAGUUAUGCAUGGAUAAUGCUGCUAGAGGGAGAUCCUUGCAUGGUUAUUCCUUAAGUGAGGUAACAAAUUUUAUUAAAUGUGGAUUGCAGAAUGACUUGCUGGCCAUCGUUGGUUUAGUUCCUUUAUCUUUUGGUCAUUUAGAUGAUAAAACAGAAUCUUUUUUCAUUUGGUUAUUCAGAUGGCUCAGAGCAAUUUAGUGUUAAUUGUUAUUGCAUAUUUGGCGUGUCAGUGAGCUCAUGAAUAUGAAAGGCUCCAUGUAAUUUGUCUAUCAUCCGAGCUCAGAUAGGUAACCUCUAUUCUGACUUACUUACCAUCCCUCUACCUUCUUGUGUGUGGAGCUAAAAUUCAUGCAGGCAGCAUUGUGGACAUAAGGCAGCUAAUGAUUCUAAUGUGCAAUCAACAACUGAUCAUUGAAUAGGUAAUAGUUGCAAACAUUAAACACGCGCUUAUUUGUCCACUUGGGUUAGUACCUGCAGGCUUCAUGUAUAGUAUCACUUUCUCAGACAUUUCCUCUUUAACGGAUACAUUAUACGUUCCCUCGUCCUGCAUUUUAUUUUACUGCAAGGAGAUGGGUAUCUUCAGCUCAGACUAAGCUCUAGAAAUGUCUGCCUGUGAAAUUAUAGAAACUGUGUCUAGACUAGAUUGGCCAAGGCCCCUGUGCUUAGCACAGACCCAAUGUAGUGAUUAUUACUGUGGCCAGCUACUGAAGAAUAUUUGGCGAACUCUCUUUUGGGAAGCAAAAGUUAAAAAAUUCUACUUCCACUCUAGUGAAGAACAGAUGAUAUGUAUAAUGGCUUUUCAGCAUCACCUUGGGAGUCCUUCAGCAAGGAUUUACUGAGAUCAAGCAUGAAGCUGAGCAUCAUGUUCCUCCAUUCCGAAGAGAACAUGUAUUUGCAAAAAAAAUUGGUGUUGAGGAGUUUUUGGUUAGAAAGCAUUUUGUGGAAGGAUUUCAGAGAACGCAAAGUUGACUUAAAUCUUCCACUGCGAUACCCAAGGUUUAUUUUAUCAUUAUUUUUGUUCUUUUUUCAUGACUGUCAGAAAAGUUAAUUACCAACAACUUUUUUUAUCACUAACAUAUGGUCAUUACGGCUAAUAAUAGAAUUAAUCAAGUUCCAAGGAA